RNAcentral lists this ribosomal RNA (256 nucleotides) under uncultured bacterium. Its description in RNAcentral is "partial 16S ribosomal RNA". It matches the Rfam family "Bacterial small subunit ribosomal RNA", at positions 521 to 776 of the family's 1533-position model. The record is from RNAcentral.
UAAUACGAAGGGAGCUAGCGUUACUCGGAAUUAUUGGGCGUAAAGCGUGCGUAGGCUGUUUUGUAAGUCAGAAGUGAAAGCCUGGGGCUCAACCUCAGAACUGCUUUUGAUACUGCAAGACUAGAGUGUGUGAGGGGAUGGCGGAAUUCCUAGUGUAGUAGUGAAAUACGUAGAUAUUAGGAGGAACACCGGUGGCGAAGGCGGCCAUCUGGCACACAACUGACGCUGUUGCACGAAAGCGUGGGGAGCAAACAGG